RNAcentral lists this ribosomal RNA (1722 nucleotides) under Staphylococcus aureus. Its description in RNAcentral is "partial 23S ribosomal RNA". It matches the Rfam family "Bacterial large subunit ribosomal RNA", at positions 1200 to 2925 of the family's 2925-position model. Lineage: Bacteria; Bacillati; Bacillota; Bacilli; Caryophanales; Staphylococcaceae. The record is from RNAcentral.
CUGUGGAUUGUCCUUUGGACAAUGGUAGGAGAGCGUUCUAAGGGCGUUGAAGCAUGAUCGUAAGGACAUGUGGAGCGCUUAGAAGUGAGAAUGCCGGUGUGAGUAGUGAAAGACGGGUGAGAAUCCCGUCCACCGAUUGACUAAGGUUUCCAGAGGAAGGCUCGUCCGCUCUGGGUUAGUCGGGUCCUAAGCUGAGGCCGACAGGCGUAGGCGAUGGAUAACAGGUUGAUAUUCCUGUACCACCUAUAAUCGUUUUAAUCGAUGGGGGGACGCAGUAGGAUAGGCGAAGCGUGCGAUUGGAUUGCACGUCUAAGCAGUAAGGCUGAGUAUUAGGCAAAUCCGGUACUCGUUAAGGCUGAGCUGUGAUGGGGAGAAGACAUUGUGUCUUCGAGUCGUUGAUUUCACACUGCCGAGAAAAGCCUCUAGAUAGAAAAUAGGUGCCCGUACCGCAAACCGACACAGGUAGUCAAGAUGAGAAUUCUAAGGUGAGCGAGCGAACUCUCGUUAAGGAACUCGGCAAAAUGACCCCGUAACUUCGGGAGAAGGGGUGCUCUUUAGGGUUAACGCCCAGAAGAGCCGCAGUGAAUAGGCCCAAGCGACUGUUUAUCAAAAACACAGGUCUCUGCUAAACCGUAAGGUGAUGUAUAGGGGCUGACGCCUGCCCGGUGCUGGAAGGUUAAGAGGAGUGGUUAGCUUCUGCGAAGCUACGAAUCGAAGCCCCAGUAAACGGCGGCCGUAACUAUAACGGUCCUAAGGUAGCGAAAUUCCUUGUCGGGUAAGUUCCGACCCGCACGAAAGGCGUAACGAUUUGGGCACUGUCUCAACGAGAGACUCGGUGAAAUCAUAGUACCUGUGAAGAUGCAGGUUACCCGCGACAGGACGGAAAGACCCCGUGGAGCUUUACUGUAGCCUGAUAUUGAAAUUCGGCACAGCUUGUACAGGAUAGGUAGGAGCCUUUGAAACGUGAGCGCUAGCUUACGUGGAGGCGCUGGUGGGAUACUACCCUAGCUGUGUUGGCUUUCUAACCCGCACCACUUAUCGUGGUGGGAGACAGUGUCAGGCGGGCAGUUUGACUGGGGCGGUCGCCUCCUAAAAGGUAACGGAGGCGCUCAAAGGUUCCCUCAGAAUGGUUGGAAAUCAUUCAUAGAGUGUAAAGGCAUAAGGGAGCUUGACUGCGAGACCUACAAGUCGAGCAGGGUCGAAAGACGGACUUAGUGAUCCGGUGGUUCCGCAUGGAAGGGCCAUCGCUCAACGGAUAAAAGCUACCCCGGGGAUAACAGGCUUAUCUCCCCCAAGAGUUCACAUCGACGGGGAGGUUUGGCACCUCGAUGUCGGCUCAUCGCAUCCUGGGGCUGUAGUCGGUCCCAAGGGUUGGGCUGUUCGCCCAUUAAAGCGGUACGCGAGCUGGGUUCAGAACGUCGUGAGACAGUUCGGUCCCUAUCCGUCGUGGGCGUAGGAAAUUUGAGAGGAGCUGUCCUUAGUACGAGAGGACCGGGAUGGACAUACCUCUGGUGUACCAGUUGUCGUGCCAACGGCAUAGCUGGGUAGCUAUGUGUGGACGGGAUAAGUGCUGAAAGCAUCUAAGCAUGAAGCCCCCCUCAAGAUGAGAUUUCCCAACUUCGGUUAUAAGAUCCCUCAAAGAUGAUGAGGUUAAUAGGUUCGAGGUGGAAGCAUGGUGACAUGUGGAGCUGACGAAUACUAAUCGAUCGAAGACUUAAUCAA